UGAAAAUUUGAUACACACAAAAGUAACUAAAAAAUUUAACAAAAUUUUUGUAUAAAUAAAGCAUACAUAUUUUCAUCCACAAUGUGCAGCCCGGUUCAAUGCUUACCAGAUUACAAAGAGCCACCAGAAUAUAUUCCAUGCAUCCCUGUCAGAGGUCCACCAUGUUUACCCUGCGGCAUGGACCCCGUCACCGUGCGUCGCCCGCUUAUCGUCCAUGACAGUACUUUCGACUACCGACCCACAAGCUGGCCCGGCAUGGUGCUGAACAACCAAGACAAGAAAGUUCGCUACCAACUCAUUAACUAUGAAAGACCGGUUAAGUCGCACUACCCAACGUGCUCGCCUUCCUACAACUCCUGCUAGACAAUCAGAGGCUGUGGCGGCUGUCCGCCUCCUUGCUGUCGGCGGCCAUGUUGUCGGCCCUGCUGUGGCGGCGGCCCUGGCUCUCUCGUCACAGUAUACAGUCAAGUAGCAAAUAUCCAGUGAUACGUCUACGACGCACGCGAUUUUUACUAAAUGCUGUAUUGGCUGUGGGGCAGCCACCCAUGCCAGUCGCAGCUUUUGACAAGGCUGUCAUAGCCAUCGGUCACCAUUGAAGUCUUGGUUUUAGCUAGAAUUUGAAUUAAUUUCUUGCGAAAGUGAAAGUUCUGUCCCGUUAACCGUAUAGUGAUUAAUGCUGAUUGUAUUACGUAAAAGUGUCAAUAAAAAUUGUUAUAUUGAA
Molecule: long non-coding RNA, 721 nt
Organism: Trichoplusia ni (cabbage looper)
Lineage: Eukaryota; Metazoa; Arthropoda; Insecta; Lepidoptera; Noctuidae
Exons: 5
Source: RefSeq, a predicted model, not a curated record